GAUGAAGAACGCAGCGAAAUGCGAUAAGUAAUGUGAAUUGCAGAAUUCAGUGAAUCAUCGAAUCUUUGAACGCACAUUGCGCCCGCCAGUAUUCUGGCGGGCAUGCCUGUUCGAGCGUCAUUUCAACCAUCAAGCCCUGCUUGCGUUGGGGUCCUGCGGCUGCCCGCAGGCCCUGAAAACCAGUGGCGGGCUCGCUAGUCACACCGAGCGCAGUAAUACAUCUCGCUUUGGGCGUGCGGCGGGUUCUUGCCGUUAAACACCCACCUUUCGCAAGGUUGACCUCGGAUCAGGUAGGAAUACCCGCUGAACUUAAGCAUAUCAAUAAGCGGAGGA
Molecule: unclassified non-coding RNA, 333 nt
Filed under: soil metagenome
Description: partial contains 5.8S ribosomal RNA, internal transcribed spacer 2, and large subunit ribosomal RNA
Rfam family: 5.8S ribosomal RNA (bases 1-120)
Source: RNAcentral